This 1627-nucleotide long non-coding RNA is filed under the name Homo sapiens (human). RNAcentral describes it as "non-protein coding lnc-RFX7-2:1". The record is from RNAcentral. Lineage: Eukaryota; Metazoa; Chordata; Mammalia; Primates; Hominidae.
AAGAAGGUACAAAAAAAGUCUUGAAUUGCUGACACAAAAGAGAGAGUAAGACCACGAAGAGACUGGCUGUUGACUGCAGGGCACCAACAGCCGCCUUGGUGGUGGCAGUAGCUGGAUUUGGGGCAGUCGAAGUACUCUGGGAGGAGUUACUUGAAAUUGUUACAACAGUUGUUUGAUUGGAAUAAAUCUGCGUGGGUAGGAGCAGUGCCAGCAGCAGCAGCCCCAGCCCAAGCCUGGCCACCACUGCUCUGCCCACGUCCCCUCCGUCGGUGUGCAGCGUGUCUGGCUGGAUGCUGGGUGCUUGGAGAACUGCUCGCUCCAGGAGGGCGCGGGCAAGGACGAUAACAACUCUUUAUCAGAUUUUCUUUUGCAAAUAUUUUCUCCCAUUUUGUGGCUUACCUUUUCGUUCUCUUGACACUUGCAACCUUGCUAGAGUUGCUUAUUAAUUCCAGACAUUUUGUUUGUUGAUUUUCUCAGAUUUUCUUCAUGGCAUUCCAUGCUCAUGGGUAGGAAGAAUCAAUAUCAUGAAAAUGGCCAUACUGCCCAAGGUAAUUUAUAGAUUCAAUGCCAUCCCCAUCAAGCUACCAAUGACUUUCUUCACAGAAUUGGAAAAAACUACUUUAAAGUUCAUAUGGAACCAAAAAAGAGCCUGCAUCGCCAAGUCAAUCCUAACCAAAAGAACAAAGCCGGAGGCAUCAUGCUACCUGACUUCAAACUAUACUACAAGGCUACAGUAACCAAAACAGCAUGGUACUGGUACCAAAACAGAGAUAUAGAUCAAUGGAACAGAACAGAGCCCUCAGAAAUAACGCUGCAUAUCUACAACCAUCUGAUCUUUGACAAACCUGACAAAAACAAGAAAUGGGGAAAGGGUUAGCAUCAUUACUCAAACUCUCUUGAUGCUUUCCAAGCUUUCUAUCCAUACAUUAUUCUGAUUCUCAUUUUUUUCCUUUGCUUAUCAAAUUUAUUUUAAACAAUCCAGUAUAUGUUAGCCAUGCUAAGAUGCUAAGGCAUUUAUACAAUUAACCUAACAAAGUGCCAACUAGAUAUAAUAAAACAAUAUUACAGUAAAGACAGAGUUGAGCAGCAAAUGUCAGAAAGAAUAUUACUGAGAAAAGCAGUGAAGGGUAAGAAUAGUAAAGGGGAAAAAUAAUUUGAGAAGGUCAAAUCAGUUUUUCAUGAUUCUUAUUGAUGGAACAAAAACACUGUGUAAAAGAAGUUAGCAACACCUGUCUUUUUUUUUUUUUUUCUACAGGAUUUUACUCUGAGACCUAUUACAGUCAUGUAACAACCAGACAAUCUAGUUUGGUGUUACAUGUUGUGUUUAUUUCCCUUUGGUUAUUCGUUAUUGCCUAGCCUUUAGUAAAGUCUUUUUUUUUUUUUUUUGGAGACAGGGUCUUACCCUGUUGCCCAGGCUGGGGUAUAGUGCAAGCCAUUUUAUCACUCAUCAUCUCUUAAAAACAAAACUGGAAUGUUAAUCUAUUUUUGGUAGAAAAAGUUGGAGACCAUUUUAUCAAAUGGCUUAGACAUAUGAAGCUGUAUGUAACUUAAAACUACUUAUUUGCCGCAGAAAUAUUACAUAUAAAGAAAGAAGACAAAACUACACACACACAUUACAUUACCUAUA